This 341-nucleotide ribosomal RNA is filed under the name Nematoda environmental sample. RNAcentral describes it as "SSU rRNA". It matches the Rfam family "Eukaryotic small subunit ribosomal RNA", at positions 1300 to 1665 of the family's 1831-position model. The record is from RNAcentral. Lineage: Eukaryota; Metazoa; Nematoda.
GGUGGAGCGAUUUGUCUGGUUAAUUCCGAUAACGAACGAGACUCUGGCCUAUUAAAUAGACGGUAUAUUUAAAAGUAUAUCGCGCUUCUUAGAGGGACAAGCGGCGUCUAGCCGCAUGAAAUAGAGCAAUAACAGGUCUGUGAUGCCCUUAGAUGUCCGGGGCUGCACGCGCGCUACACUGAAAGAAUCAGUGGGCGUGAUACCUAGUUCGGAAGGACCGGGUAACCCAAGUAAAUUCUUUCGUGCUUGGGAUAGGGAAUUGCAAUUAUUUCCCUUAAACGAGGAAUUCCCAGUAAAUGCGGGUCAUAAGCUCGCGUUGAAUACGUCCCUGCCCUUUGUAC